This is a long non-coding RNA of Dreissena polymorpha, 894 nucleotides long. RefSeq lists it as uncharacterized. The transcript has 2 exons. The record is from RefSeq and is a predicted model, not a curated record. Lineage: Eukaryota; Metazoa; Mollusca; Bivalvia; Myida; Dreissenidae.
AUACCGCGUAUUAAUGCUCAAAUUUCAUACACCAAACACUUACCUGAAUGAAAAUGUACGGCUCGUUUCACAGCAGGUUUACGAAAAUAAACCAUCCUGUAUGUCAUAAACAAAUAGAAUAAUCUUGGAAGUCAGGCAGUGAAAAGAUACUGUUAUAUCUGUUCAGGUAUUUUUCUUCUUAAAACAUAUAUGCUUCCGAUUUAACACGGUGAUCUUAUUAGAGGAUUUGAGUGGACUACUGUGCAUCAUAAUAGCCGGUUUGAUGCAACAUCACAUCAUGCAGACCUCAACGCGGAUAUACGCUUUGGCUUUCUUGCUCAUCGGCGCUCUACUGUUGGCAAACUUUGGACCGGCGUCUGGGGCUCUAUGCAUGCGAGGCAAAGGCGGACGGUGCGUGGAGACGACCCAGGGUCGUCACUGUGAAACCAGGCGACACGGGAAGUGUGAGGCAAUAGGAAGAACAUGCCGAUGUCGUAGCCUUGCAUUAUAUAUGGCAAGGGAAACAUUGCAGCCAGUGGAUACGCAUUACUUGAUAUUAGCUGAAAAUUAAAACACUGUCAUGAUUUAUUAAAGCAAAGUCGCGGGAUUUUUGGUUAAAGUAAAUAACGCCUAUGUGGAGGGUCGUGUGUUAUAGUGGCGUUCUUAAAUAAUUAUAAAUAUUAGUAGCUGAUUGAUUACUUAUGUAAAAAAUCUUCAUAAUUAAUGUGCAUGUCUCAGACAUUUAUGUUAAAAAAGGAAAUAAUACACUUUCAUUGUUAAAAGCUUGGACUUCUUCGGGCAUAUUUUAUAUGCGUAUGCAUUUGUAUUUUUCACAUGCCAUACCCUGUUUUCAAUUUAAUAUAACCAUUACGAAUAUUUUUAUCUUACACAUGUGUAAUAUAAUUUUUAAGCGUU